Non-coding RNA from Acanthosepion pharaonis, 114 nucleotides. The record is from the annotation of a GenBank genome assembly. Lineage: Eukaryota; Metazoa; Mollusca; Cephalopoda; Sepiida; Sepiidae.
UUACGGCCAUAUCACAUUGGAACAUCGGUUCCCGUACGAUCAUCUAAAUUAAGCAAUGGUGAUCCUGGUCAGUACCUAGAUGGGUGACCGUUUGAGAAUAUCAGAGACUGCAAU